UGGAAAAAUAAUACUCUUCUUUCUGUUUACUAGCAUCACAAUGCUUGCAUGUCCUAGGAAAAGCUGAAAUCAAAAGGCAAAAAUUUAGCUUGAAUAACUGACAUAUACAAUUUGAUAUUUUACCUUCAAAAUUUAGGCGAAACUUUGAAACCCGCCUUUGUUUUGGAUUAAUUCUUGCUGAAACUGAAAUGUUCUGAUUUUGAAGUUUCAAGCAAAACUAUAACGCUUGUGUAACAAUGAAGGGACUCAUGCCUCGUUGAGGGUCUCUUUUAUGGAUAGAAGUUUCAUUUGAGUGGGGGAA
This 301-nucleotide long non-coding RNA is filed under the name Elaeis guineensis (African oil palm). RNAcentral's name for it is "long non-coding RNA (EGUI_LNC074301)". Lineage: Eukaryota; Viridiplantae; Streptophyta; Magnoliopsida; Arecales; Arecaceae. The record is from RNAcentral.